Molecule: unclassified non-coding RNA, 361 nt
Filed under: uncultured fungus
Lineage: Eukaryota; Fungi
Description: partial contains 5.8S ribosomal RNA and internal transcribed spacer 2
Rfam family: 5.8S ribosomal RNA (bases 1-133)
Source: RNAcentral
UGGCUCUCGCAUCGAUGAAGAACGCAGCGAAAUGCGAUAAGUAAUGUGAAUUGCAGAAUUCAGUGAAUCAUCGAAUCUUUGAACGCACCUUGCGCCCCUUGGCAUUCCGAGGGGCACGCCUGUUCGAGUGUCGUGAACUCCUCCACUCCUUACCUUUUUCGAAGGGUACCGAGCUGGGAUUUGAGAGUUGCGGGUCCCUGGCCGAUCCGCUCUCUUUGAAUGCAUUAGCGAAGCCCUCGCGGCCUUGGUGUGAUAGUAAUCUACGCCUCGGUUCCGUGCUUAGUGUGGCUACGCUUCCAACCGUCUCGCAAGGGACAACGACUACAAACUUGACCUCGAAUCAGGCGGGACUACCCGCUGA